This 468-nucleotide ribosomal RNA is filed under the name uncultured bacterium. RNAcentral's name for it is "partial 16S ribosomal RNA". It matches the Rfam family "Bacterial small subunit ribosomal RNA", at positions 28 to 507 of the family's 1533-position model. The record is from RNAcentral.
GACGAACGCUGGCGGCGUGCUUAACACAUGCAAGUCGAACGGAAAGGCCCUGCUUUUGUGGGGUGCUCGAGUGGCGAACGGGUGAGUAACACGGGAGUAACCUGCCCUUGACUUUGGGAUAACUUCAGGAAACUGGGGCUAAUACCGGAUAGGAGCUCCUGCUGCAUGGUGGGGGUUGGAAAGUUUCGGCGGUUGGGGAUGGACUCGCGGGUUAUCAGCUUGUUGGUGGGGUAGUGGCUUACCAAGGCUUUGACGGGUAGCCGGCCUGAGAGGGUGACCGGCCACAUUGGGGCUGAGAUACGGCCCAGACUCCUACGGGAGGCAGCAGUGGGGAAUAUUGCACAAUGGGCGGAAGCCUGAUGCAGCAACGCCGCGUGCGGGAUAACGGCCUUCGGGUUGUAAACCGCUUUCGCCUGUGACGAGGCGUGAGUGACGGUAAUGGGUAAAGAAGCACCGGCUAACUACGUG